Long non-coding RNA from Gopherus flavomarginatus (Mexican gopher tortoise), 223 nucleotides. RefSeq lists it as uncharacterized. The record is from RefSeq and is a predicted model, not a curated record. Lineage: Eukaryota; Metazoa; Chordata; Testudines; Testudinidae. The transcript is spliced from 3 exons.
AGCAUUUUCCUUUGCUGAUCUCUAGCCCCAGGAUACAAAAAUCCUUCAGCUCUUCAUCACAAUCAUCUCUCCUUAUCUCUUGUUAAAGAAAGCUAAUGCUCUGCAAAUGUCUGUGUGGAAGCAUCCCUUCCAUCUGCAUGUGGUUUUGGAAAAAACACAGGCCAUCUCAACAACCAUCUUGAAGAACCUGCAUGAGGUAAAUAACCUUCUCUUCCUCACUCAA